RNAcentral lists this ribosomal RNA (253 nucleotides) under uncultured bacterium. RNAcentral's name for it is "partial 16S ribosomal RNA". It matches the Rfam family "Bacterial small subunit ribosomal RNA", at positions 524 to 776 of the family's 1533-position model. The record is from RNAcentral.
UACGGAGGGUGCGAGCGUUGUCCGGAAUCACUGGGCGUAAAGGGUGCGUAGGCGGGUCUUUAAGUCAGGGGUGAAAUCCCGGGGCUCAACCCCGGAACUGCCUUUGAUACUGCGAAUCUCGAGUCCGGAAGAGGUGAGUGGAAUUCCUAGUGUAGAGGUGAAAUUCGUAGAUAUUAGGAAGAACACCAGUGGCGAAGGCGGCUCACUGGUCCGGUACUGACGCUGAGGUGCGAAAGCGUGGGGAGCAAACAGG